RNAcentral lists this ribosomal RNA (253 nucleotides) under uncultured bacterium. RNAcentral's name for it is "partial 16S ribosomal RNA". It matches the Rfam family "Bacterial small subunit ribosomal RNA", at positions 524 to 776 of the family's 1533-position model. The record is from RNAcentral.
UACGGAGGGGGCUAGCGUUGUUCGGAAUUACUGGGCGUAAAGCGCACGUAGGCGGAUUGGUAAGUUGGGGGUGAAAUCCCGGGGCUCAACCCCGGAACUGCCUUCAAAACUCCCAGUCUGGAGGUCGAGAGAGGUGAGUGGAAUUCCGAGUGUAGAGGUGAAAUUCGUAGAUAUUCGGAGGAACACCAGUGGCGAAGGCGGCUCACUGACUCGAUACUGACGCUGAGGUGCGAAAGCGUGGGGAGCAAACAGG